This 520-nucleotide ribosomal RNA is filed under the name Fusarium sp. JJP-2009a. RNAcentral's name for it is "eukaryotic LSU rRNA". The stretch from base 214 to 367 matches the Rfam family "5.8S ribosomal RNA". The record is from RNAcentral. Lineage: Eukaryota; Fungi; Ascomycota; Sordariomycetes; Hypocreales; Nectriaceae.
GGUCAUUUAGAGGAAGUAAAAGUCGUAACAAGGUCUCCGUUGGUGAACCAGCGGAGGGAUCAUUACCGAGUUUACAACUCCCAAACCCCUGUGAACAUACCACUUGUUGCCUCGGCGGAUCAGCCCGCUCCCGGUAAAACGGGACGGCCCGCCAGAGGACCCCUAAACUCUGUUUCUAUAUGUAACUUCUGAGUAAAACCAUAAAUAAAUCAAAACUUUCAACAACGGAUCUCUUGGUUCUGGCAUCGAUGAAGAACGCAGCAAAAUGCGAUAAGUAAUGUGAAUUGCAGAAUUCAGUGAAUCAUCGAAUCUUUGAACGCACAUUGCGCCCGCCAGUAUUCUGGCGGGCAUGCCUGUUCGAGCGUCAUUUCAACCCUCAAGCACAGCUUGGUGUUGGGACUCGCGUUAAUUCGCGUUCCCCAAAUUGAUUGGCGGUCACGUCGAGCUUCCAUAGCGUAGUAGUAAAACCCUCGUUACUGGUAAUCGUCGCGGCCACGCCGUUAAACCCCAACUUCUGAAU